AGCAGCCGCGGUAAUUCCAGCUCCAAUAGCGUAUAUUAAAGUUGUUGCAGUUAAAAAGCUCGUAGUUGAAUUUCGGGAUCAAUUAAUUGGUCGUGCCUCUGGUACGUACUGAUUUUAUUGGUUUCUCCCUUCUGACGAACCAUGAUGUCAUUAAUUUGGUGUCGUGGAGAAUCAGGACUGUUACUUUGAAAAAUUAGAGUGUUUAAAGCAAGCUAACGCUUGAAUACAUUAGCAUGGAAUAAUGAAAUAGGACGUUUGAUCCUAUUUUGUUGGUUUCUAGGAUCGACGUAAUGAUUAAUAGGGAUAGUUGGGGGCAUUAGUAUUCAAUUGUCAGAGGUGAAAUUCUUGGAUUUAUUGAAGACUAACUACUGCGAAAGCAUUUGCCAAGGAUGUUUUCAUUAAUCAAGAACGAAAGUUAGGGGAUCGAAGACGAUCAGAUACCGUCGUAGUCUUAACCAUAAACUAUGCCGACUAGGGAUCGGAUGAUGUUAAUUUUUUAAUGACUCAUUCGGCGCCUUAA
This 520-nucleotide small RNA is filed under the name uncultured Glomus. RNAcentral describes it as "SSU rRNA". It matches the Rfam family "Eukaryotic small subunit ribosomal RNA", at positions 569 to 1091 of the family's 1831-position model. The record is from RNAcentral. Lineage: Eukaryota; Fungi; Glomeromycota; Glomeromycetes; Glomerales; Glomeraceae.